Molecule: ribosomal RNA, 1560 nt
Filed under: Salmonella enterica subsp. enterica serovar Adelaide str. A4-669
Lineage: Bacteria; Pseudomonadati; Pseudomonadota; Gammaproteobacteria; Enterobacterales; Enterobacteriaceae
Description: bacterial LSU rRNA
Rfam family: Bacterial large subunit ribosomal RNA
Source: RNAcentral
GUUGCUGGAGGUAUCAGAAGUGCGAAUGCUGACAUAAGUAACGAUAAAGCGGGUGAAAAGCCCGCUCGCCGGAAGACCAAGGGUUCCUGUCCAACGUUAAUCGGGGCAGGGUGAGUCGACCCCUAAGGCGAGGCCGAAAGGCGUAGUCGAUGGGAAACGGGUUAAUAUUCCCGUACUUGGUGUUACUGCGAAGGGGGGACGGAGAAGGCUAUGUUGGCCGGGCGACGGUUGUCCCGGUUUAAGCGUGUAGGUGUGUGUUCCAGGUAAAUCCGGUUCACUUUAACACUGAGGCGUGAUGACGAGGCACUACGGUGCUGAAGCAACAAAUGCCCUGCUUCCAGGAAAAGCCUCUAAGCAUCAGGUAACACGAAAUCGUACCCCAAACCGACACAGGUGGUCAGGUAGAGAAUACCAAGGCGCUUGAGAGAACUCGGGUGAAGGAACUAGGCAAAAUGGUGCCGUAACUUCGGGAGAAGGCACGCUGACACGUAGGUGAAGUGAUUUACUCAUGGAGCUGAAGUCAGUCGAAGAUACCAGCUGGCUGCAACUGUUUAUUAAAAACACAGCACUGUGCAAACACGAAAGUGGACGUAUACGGUGUGACGCCUGCCCGGUGCCGGAAGGUUAAUUGAUGGGGUCAGCGCAAGCGAAGCUCCUGAUCGAAGCCCCGGUAAACGGCGGCCGUAACUAUAACGGUCCUAAGGUAGCGAAAUUCCUUGUCGGGUAAGUUCCGACCUGCACGAAUGGCGUAAUGAUGGCCAGGCUGUCUCCACCCGAGACUCAGUGAAAUUGAACUCGCUGUGAAGAUGCAGUGUACCCGCGGCAAGACGGAAAGACCCCGUGAACCUUUACUAUAGCUUGACACUGAACAUUGAGCCUUGAUGUGUAGGAUAGGUGGGAGGCUUUGAAGUGUGGACGCCAGUCUGCAUGGAGCCGACCUUGAAAUACCACCCUUUAAUGUUUGAUGUUCUAACGUGGACCCGUAAUCCGGGUUGCGGACAGUGUCUGGUGGGUAGUUUGACUGGGGCGGUCUCCUCCUAAAGAGUAACGGAGGAGCACGAAGGUUGGCUAAUCCUGGUCGGACAUCAGGAGGUUAGUGCAAUGGCAUAAGCCAGCUUGACUGCGAGCGUGACGGCGCGAGCAGGUGCGAAAGCAGGUCAUAGUGAUCCGGUGGUUCUGAAUGGAAGGGCCAUCGCUCAACGGAUAAAAGGUACUCCGGGGAUAACAGGCUGAUACCGCCCAAGAGUUCAUAUCGACGGCGGUGUUUGGCACCUCGAUGUCGGCUCAUCACAUCCUGGGGCUGAAGUAGGUCCCAAGGGUAUGGCUGUUCGCCAUUUAAAGUGGUACGCGAGCUGGGUUUAGAACGUCGUGAGACAGUUCGGUCCCUAUCUGCCGUGGGCGCUGGAGAACUGAGGGGGGCUGCUCCUAGUACGAGAGGACCGGAGUGGACGCAUCACUGGUGUUCGGGUUGUCAUGCCAAUGGCACUGCCCGGUAGCUAAAUGCGGAAGAGAUAAGUGCUGAAAGCAUCUAAGCACGAAACUUGCCCCGAGAUGAGUUCU